CACUUAAAGUUUGACCCCCCGAAACUAGGCGAGCUACUCUAAAACAAUCACAGAACUAACCCAUCCCUGUUACAAAAGGGUGGGAUGAUUUUAAAGUAGAGGUGAUACACCUACCGAGCCCAGAAAUAGCUGGUUAUUCAAAAGACGGAUUUAAGUCCAACUCUAAGCUUCUCUUAGUAAUACUAAACACCAACAAGCUUAAAAGUCACUCAAAUAAGGUACAGCCUAUUUGAACAAGGAGACAACCUACAAUUUAGGGUAAUGACAUUAUACACGACUAAGUAGGCCUAAAAGCAGCCAACUUUCAAAAAGCGUCUAAGCAUCAUCUCACCACAUCCAUAAUUCCACAAUUAACCCAAAACCCCCAAACAUCACUGAAUGACCCCAUACCCAUAUGGUAAACAUUAUGCUAGAACUAGUAACAAGAAAACGAACUUCUCCAAAAUGCAAGCGUAAGCCAAAAUGAACCCACCACCGGCAAUUACCGCUACCACAGUACCAACCCUACAAGAAAACCCUACUUUACCUAGCGCCAACCUUACACUAGAAUAUUACCGGAAAGAUUAAAAGACGGGGAAGGAAUUC
This 585-nucleotide ribosomal RNA is filed under the name Stumpffia analanjirofo. RNAcentral's name for it is "partial 16S ribosomal RNA". The stretch from base 18 to 133 matches the Rfam family "Bacterial large subunit ribosomal RNA", at positions 714 to 852 of the family's 2925-position model. Lineage: Eukaryota; Metazoa; Chordata; Amphibia; Anura; Microhylidae. The record is from RNAcentral.